Molecule: long non-coding RNA, 466 nt
Filed under: Sus scrofa (pig)
Lineage: Eukaryota; Metazoa; Chordata; Mammalia; Artiodactyla; Suidae
Description: lncRNA (ENSSSCG00030068832.1)
Source: RNAcentral
AGACAGGCUCCUGGAGUGCAUGGGGCUUCUGACCAGCACCUACUGUCAUAGUAGCCAGCAAUAACCAGUGGCCAGCACUUUACUCUUUCAUCUCUUCUUGGGUGACUUUGUAGUAGAAUGCCUCUAGUGAGACAUCUCCCUGUGAACAGCUUUCCCAGCACCCUAAAGAAUGGAUUUCCAGCAAAUUCCAGAAAGCAGAUUUCCAGCAUAUUUGGCACAUGUGUGGCUGGAGAGUGCCUAUGGGUUGAUUCCUUUGUGAAUUACAUGGAGCUGACACAGCUGAAACCCACUAUGACCCAGAUGAGGACAGAAGCUUGUGCUGGAAGAGUGGCUGUGUCCCUAUGUGACAAGGCCUGAGAUGUCCUAAGGACUGUAUACCUCAGUGGGUUUGGACUAAACCACCAGAAUGCACAGCCAUCCUGCAUUCACUUCUCUCACCUCUCCAGCACCAUACUAAUAACGCCCA